CAUGCAAGUCGAACGGUGAAGCAGAGCUUGCUCUGUGGAUCAGUGGCGAACGGGUGAGUAACACGUGAGCAAUCUGCCCUUGACUCUGGGAUAAGCGCUGGAAACGGCGUCUAAUACUGGAUACGAGCUGCGAAGGCAUCUUCAGCAGCUGGAAAGAAUUUCGGUCAAGGAUGAGCUCGCGGCCUAUCAGCUUGUUGGUGAGGUAAUGGCUCACCAAGGCGUCGACGGGUAGCCGGCCUGAGAGGGUGACCGGCCACACUGGGACUGAGACACGGCCCAGACUCCUACGGGAGGCAGCAGUGGGGAAUAUUGCACAAUGGGCGAAAGCCUGAUGCAGCAACGCCGCGUGAGGGACGACGGCCUUCGGGUUGUAAACCUCUUUUAGCAGGGAAGAAGCGAAAGUGACGGUACCUGCAGAAAAAGCACCGGCUAACUACGUGCCAGCAGCCGCGGUAAUACGUAGGGUGCAAGCGUUAUCCGGAAUUAUUGGGCGUAAAGAGCUCGUAGGCGGUUUGUCGCGUCUGCUGUGAAAUCUGGGGGCUCAACCCCCAGCCUGCAGUGGGUACGGGCAGACUAGAGUGCGGUAGGGGAGAUUGGAAUUCCUGGUGUAGCGGUGGAAUGCGCAGAUAUCAGGAGGAACACCGAUGGCGAAGGCAGAUCUCUGGGCCGUAACUGACGCUGAGGAGCGAAAGGGUGGGGAGCAAACAGGCUUAGAUACCCUGGUAGUCCACCCCGUAAACGUUGGGAACUAGUUGUGG
Molecule: ribosomal RNA, 758 nt
Filed under: Microbacterium sp.
Lineage: Bacteria; Bacillati; Actinomycetota; Actinomycetes; Micrococcales; Microbacteriaceae
Description: bacterial SSU rRNA
Rfam family: Bacterial small subunit ribosomal RNA
Source: RNAcentral